UACAGAGGUCCCAAGCGUUGUUCGGAUUCAUUGGGCGUAAAGGGUGCGUAGGCGGCGCGGUAAGUCGGGUGUGAAAUCUCGGAGCUUAACUCCGAAACUGCAUUCGAUACUGCCGUGCUUGAGGACUGGAGAGGAGACUGGAAUUUACGGUGUAGCGGUGAAAUGCGCAGAUAUCAGGAGGAACACCGGUGGCGAAGGCGGGUCUCUGGGCCGAUACUGACGCUGAGGAGCGAAAGCGUGGGGAGCAAACAGG
Molecule: ribosomal RNA, 253 nt
Filed under: uncultured bacterium
Lineage: Bacteria
Description: partial 16S ribosomal RNA
Rfam family: Bacterial small subunit ribosomal RNA
Source: RNAcentral